UGGGGAAGUAAAAGUCGUAACAAGGUUUCCGUAGGUGAACCUGCGGAAGGAUCAUUACAGUAUUCUUUUUGCCAGCGCUUAAUUGCGCGGCGAAAAAACCUUACACACAGUGUUUUUUGUUAUUACAAGAACUUUUGCUUUGGUCUGGACUAGAAAUAGUUUGGGCCAGAGGUUUACUGAACUAAACUUCAAUAUUUAUAUUGAAUUGUUAUUUAUUUAAUUGUCAAUUUGUUGAUUAAAUUCAAAAAAUCUUCAAAACUUUCAACAACGGAUCUCUUGGUUCUCGCAUCGAUGAAGAACGCAGCGAAAUGCGAUAAGUAAUAUGAAUUGCAGAUUUUCGUGAAUCAUCGAAUCUUUGAACGCACAUUGCGCCCUCUGGUAUUCCAGAGGGCAUGCCUGUUUGAGCGUCAUUUCUCUCUCAAACCUUCGGGUUUGGUAUUGAGUGAUACUCUUAGUCGAACUAGGCGUUUGCUUGAAAUGUAUUGGCAUGAGUGGUACUGGAUAGUGCUAUAUGACUUUCAAUGUAUUAGGUUUAUCCAACUCGUUGAAUAGUUUAAUGGUAUAUUUCUCGGUAUUCUAGGCUCGGCCUUACAAUAUAACAAACAAGUUUGACCUCAAAUCAGGUAGGAUUACCCGCUGAACUUAAGCAUAUCAAUAAGCGGAGGAA
RNAcentral lists this ribosomal RNA (667 nucleotides) under Debaryomyces hansenii. Its description in RNAcentral is "eukaryotic LSU rRNA". The stretch from base 257 to 410 matches the Rfam family "5.8S ribosomal RNA". The record is from RNAcentral. Lineage: Eukaryota; Fungi; Ascomycota; Pichiomycetes; Serinales; Debaryomycetaceae.